Molecule: small nuclear RNA, 107 nt
Organism: Heterocephalus glaber (naked mole-rat)
Lineage: Eukaryota; Metazoa; Chordata; Mammalia; Rodentia; Bathyergidae
Source: Ensembl
GUGCUUGCUUUGACAGCACACAUACUAAAAUUGGAAAAAAACAGAGAAAAUUAGCAUGGGCCCUGCUGGAGUACACCAUGUGCGGUAGUUACUUUUCUCUCAUUCCU